Molecule: long non-coding RNA, 228 nt
Organism: Schistocerca nitens (vagrant locust)
Lineage: Eukaryota; Metazoa; Arthropoda; Insecta; Orthoptera; Acrididae
Exons: 3
Source: RefSeq, a predicted model, not a curated record
GCCGUCCGCGCGCGCUGCCGCGACGCCGCCGCCCGCAGCCAUGUACGAAGACGACUUCCAAGAGCCCUCGACGAGCCGUCGCCGGGCUUCCAGAGAAAUGACGCCGUCCUCCACAUCUACCCGACAGCGGAAGGGCUUCCUCGGCAGGUUCUUCAAGAAGGCCUGGGAGAAGAUGAAGCGGCCGGAGAGCGAGCGGCCAAAGGAGGAGCCGUGGGACUACCUGGAGGG